RNAcentral lists this unclassified non-coding RNA (368 nucleotides) under Hevea brasiliensis (rubber tree). The record is from RNAcentral. Lineage: Eukaryota; Viridiplantae; Streptophyta; Magnoliopsida; Malpighiales; Euphorbiaceae.
GUACAAUAUCUUGAAGAGUAGCAGCCGAGAUAGAGAGGAAGUGUAGAAGGAUUGAAAAUAAUGUUGCGAGUCUGUGGACUUUGCAUUUGGUUCUAGCUUGGGGAGUUGUUCAAUGCACAACAUGCCAUUAGACUAAAUACAGAGUUUUAUAUUCUUCUUGUUGUUGAUAUAGUUAUGGCUAUUGUAGUGGUGGUGGCACUCUCUGCUCUGGCUUGUGAAAAUGCAUGUGUAUAUUGAUGUUGCUGGGGGCAUCUGAUGCUAACCUCAUUGGAGGCACUUGUUUGCUUGUCUUCUGAUUUAAUUUCUUCGCCCUACCCUCUUUUCUGUUAUUUAGGGAACAAAUUAUAGAUUUAUGUAUACUACUCCCC